This 431-nucleotide ribosomal RNA is filed under the name uncultured bacterium. RNAcentral describes it as "partial 16S ribosomal RNA". It matches the Rfam family "Bacterial small subunit ribosomal RNA", at positions 29 to 507 of the family's 1533-position model. The record is from RNAcentral.
AACGAACGCUGGCGGCAGGCUUAACACAUGCAAGUCGAACGCCCCGCAAGGGGAGUGGCAGACGGGUGAGUAACACGUGGGAACAUGCCCAAAGGUACGGAAUAUUCUCGGGAAACUGAGAGCAAUACCGUAUAUGCCCGAAAGGGGAAAGAUUUAUCGCCUUUGGAUUGGCCCGCGUCGGAUUAGCUAGUUGGUGGGGUAAAAGCCUACCAAGGCGACGAUCCGUAGCUGGUCUGAGAGGACGACCAGCCACACUGGGACUGAGACACGGCCCAGACUCCUACGGGAGGCAGCAGUGGGGAAUCUUGGACAAUGGGCGCAAGCCUGAUCCAGCCAUGCCGCGUGGAUGAUGAAGGCCCUAGGGUUGUAAAAUCCUUUCGUUGGGGACGAUAAUGACGGUACCCAAAGAAGAAGCUCCGGCUAACUUCGUG